This 294-nucleotide ribosomal RNA is filed under the name Escherichia coli. RNAcentral describes it as "partial 23S ribosomal RNA". It matches the Rfam family "Bacterial large subunit ribosomal RNA", at positions 1085 to 1378 of the family's 2925-position model. The record is from RNAcentral. Lineage: Bacteria; Pseudomonadati; Pseudomonadota; Gammaproteobacteria; Enterobacterales; Enterobacteriaceae.
CCAGACAGCCAGGAUGUUGGCUUAGAAGCAGCCAUCAUUUAAAGAAAGCGUAAUAGCUCACUGGUCGAGUCGGCCUGCGCGGAAGAUGUAACGGGGCUAAACCAUGCACCGAAGCUGCGGCAGCGACACUGUGUGUUGUUGGGUAGGGGAGCGUUCUGUAAGCCUGUGAAGGUGUGCUGUGAGGCAUGCUGGAGGUAUCAGAAGUGCGAAUGCUGACAUAAGUAACGAUAAAGCGGGUGAAAAGCCCGCUCGCCGGAAGACCAAGGGUUCCUGUCCAACGUUAAUCGGGGCAGG